Non-coding RNA from Triticum aestivum (bread wheat), 115 nucleotides. NCBI's taxonomy places the organism in Eukaryota, Viridiplantae, Streptophyta, Magnoliopsida, Poales, Poaceae. The record is from Rfam.
AAGGUACUUCUUCAGUUCCGAAUUAUUUGUCGCAUGUAUGAAUGUAUCUAGAUGUAUUUUAGUUCUAGAUACAUUCAUUUCUGCGACGAGUAAUUUGAAACGGAGGGAGUAUUAA